AUCUAGUAACAGCUUAUCUAUGAAUAAAAAUCCUUAAAACUGACACUAGAACAGGCACAAAUCCCCUUUUUGAGACCACAUGGCAAAAAAUGCGGGAAAACUGCCCACGCGGCCCAAACGGACCCUCGCACAUUGCAACAGGCACGGAUUUGACUUGUUUGGUUUGGGCCAGAACCAGGAUGCACCAAAAAAAAGUUUUGCGCGCCUCGGACAAACGUAAGCCGAACAGCAGCCAAAAAGAGGGUCAAAUCUAGUUCAGGCUCCAUUUCGGGCCUUUAGCUCUUGCAUGUAGGGAUUUUUCGACCCACCUUCCAUCGUCCAAUUAUGAUGAAAUGUAGUGAGCACUUACAACUUAUCAGUAGCGACUUUCACCAAUAUUUCCAGAUUUUUAUCUUAUUCAGGGGCCGAUCUAUUACCUGAAAAAUGCCAAAAAAUUAAUUUUGGCCUACGUUUCUGUCUUUUAAAUGAGCCUAAAAUGAAAAAGGCCUAAAAAUGUUUUGUGACCUUUAACCUUUCUGAAUGGCCUAACAGCCUAUAAAAUGGGGAGGUCCAACCAGAGGGUCACCUGAAGCUACAGUAAAAAUUUCAAGGUUAAUCAGAAGCCGAGUUUCAGCGGCUGAAUAUUAAAGGCACGCCUUAAUGAGGUUCACCUUUGUCCUAGUUACAAAGCAAACAAGCAGGGGAAAGGGGCGCUUAACCCUUCAAUUUGGCCUAAGUUUUAGUCUUUUUAAAGCAGCCCUAAAUGAAGAUGCUGUUUGGGAUACCUUUUAACAGUCAAAACUUGGCUUCAUUUUGAGUUGCUUUCUCUCGUAGUCCAGAAUGAAGAUGCACUUUUUAAAAAACAAUGCUUUUUAAUUACUUAAAAUUGCUUCUUUAUUCGUAGGGACAUGACUUUCAGAUACAGUAUGUUUUAAAGAAAGACGUGCCGAUUCAUAAUAUGUUGAUUGCACUGCCCAACAUUGCUCCCAGACCAAGUUAGCCUCCUAAAGGACGUGGACCAAGUUUUCUUUCACUUUGUGGUAUGGGGGGUUAGUGUGAGCGUGAAAAUCCACUCUCCUCCUCAAUGGCACGCAUGGCACCAAAGGUAUGCCACCUCCUAACAGUGAAAAGUGCGGGUUUUGCGGGGCUAUAUCUUGGAAACCACAACAGAUUUUGGCAUGCAACUACCCCAGGUGGACUUUUCCCAGGCUCCCGAUCAACAUACUAAAAGAUGGGGCCACUGCCACAAGCAGAAUUUUUUUUUCUACUUUGGACCAACUGAAUAAUCAGGUCUUUUUUGGAGCUAUGUGUCCAAGACCCUAUUUUGUGGCUGAAAUCAGACAUAGGACUUUUUUUCUGGGGGGUUUCUGGGAAUUUGACACUGAAUUCUGAUUGUGCGGCCCCAUGGAGACAUACCUUCUGAAAAUGGGGCCAACCAUUGAGGAGUAAUCGCAAUAAAAGAGAAUGACCCCAGUCACCUGCCGGUCAAGUGCCCACAAGGCCAAAAGAGCACUCAAAUGACAAGCUACGGCUACAAAAUUGCCAGGGCUUGCUUGGGGUGGCGCCUGCAUGCAGAAUCAGUGUUUGUUUGGUGAAAAUCGGUUGAAAAAAAUGCAACAUUUGAGACCACAUGGCAAAAAAGGCGGGAAAACUGCCCACACGACCCAAACGGACCCUUAAAGGGUUACGACCAGCACGACUUUGACGUGUAUGGUUUGGGCCAGAACCGGGAUUCCCCCAAAAAAGUUUUGUGCACCUCGGACAAACGUAAGCCGAACAGCAGCCAAAAAGGAGGUCAAAUCUAGUUCAGGCUCCAUUUCGGGCCUUUAGCUUUUGCUUGUAGGGAUUUUUUUGACCCACUUCCCUUUCUCCAAUCGGGAUGAAACGUUGUGAGCACUUACAAAUUAUCAUUACAGUCUUGUCAGUAUGAAAUUGCUGGUGGCCGCCACAUCAAUACAUUUAUCUUUGGCUUCAAUUUUUUCAUUUUAGUCUACAUGGUGUUUUACCGUGUUGCUACAUGUGGAGGAAGUCUAUUAAUAAUUUCAUCAAAGAGUUUGCAUAUAUUAUUACUUUAAAUGUACAGGUAGUGUUUCAUGUGUAUAUUUUAAUAGUCUUCACAAUAUUUAAUCAAUUUUCUUAACUACAUCAUUCUCACUAGUGUGGCAGGGCGAGAGAAACCCUGGACAAGCCUCGGUCCAUCACAGAGACACACCCUGGGAUAAACAACCAGUCACUUAAUCACUCAUAACUAGGGACAAUUUAGAUUCACCAGUUACCUUGAUUGAUGUGCAUGUUUUUGGUCUGUGGAAAGAAACCAGCGCUUACAUAGGGAAAACAUGCUACCUCCACACAAAAAGGCCACGCAAGCUGGAUUGAAACAGGUGGCCUAUUUGCUAUAAGGCAACAUUCCUACUAAUUACACCACCAUCAAGCCCCACAAUAAUUAAUUAUGAUGAAAGUCCAAGUCUGAAGUUAAAGAACUUAUAUCAAAUAAAAACUUAGACAUAGAAUUGACCGACAGGUAAUUAAAUAUUUAACUCAAAUUUAGUCCUGUACCCUGUUCUCCCAUUUGCUAAGUUUAAUGUGAGCUUAAAAAUAAAAGCAUGUAAAAGAAGGUAUUUAAAAAAAAUUGGUUUCAGAUAAAAAAACAAACAGUAAACCAAUCAUUUAAAUUUUUUCUGUCUCUAUUUCCAGUUGAAAAUGUAAAGAACAUAUUACGAAGGGGAAUGUUUUUUUCUACAGGGUCAAGUCAUGAACAUUGAGGCAGGGUGAGGGAGAGGUGGCCCUUUUCAAUCCAAACUCUGUUCUGUACAGGCUGUUUCUCUUGAGUUCAGAGGCACUAAUCAACAAGGAGUCAGGGUGGGGGAUGGGUGGCAUUAAACAGUGGACUGGCUAACUCUGAAACCUCUGCUGCAUUCAAGGAAAAUGUGUAACUACCAGUACACUAGUUACACAACAUAAAAUCUGAUCGCUGUCGUUUUAAAUAUAAAUUUCACACUGUUAAAAAGUGCAUAACAACUUCCUUUAAAAGUCAUUACAUUAGCAAUUUUUCAAAAUAAAUAUUUUAAUCCAUUAAAACUUAAAGAUCUGCAGGCAGUUGUCAACUUUCCCAGUGCUCCUGAAAGCAACAUCAGUGCACGACCACUGAGGGGAUUCACGCAGCUGCAGAGCAUCUGAGAAGCAGAAGGAAACAGUUUUAAUGUUUGGAACCAGAAAAAAGUCUGCAACUAAACCAGGGCAUGUUGUGAUCUGUGGGGGAAACCGGAGUACCCGGAGAAAACCCACGCAUGCAUGGGGAGAACACGCAACUCCACGCAGAAAGAUAAUGAGCUGAAUGAAGAAGAACAGGAAGAGAUAAUGGAGCUUUCUGCUUCAGAGGACUUUCUCUCAGACUCCAGCUAUGAUUUGGACAGUGAUUAUAUCCCAUUAGCUCCUCCUUCCUCAGAGGAUGAGCUAACCUCUUCACAGUCUAAGCUCAUGAAGACACAUGAUGCUUUAAAAAACCCUGGCAAAACCUCUCUCAGCCAAAGCUAUGUUCAUGAACAGAAGACACUGAUGGACAGUGGUAAAAGUAAUGAAGCUCUGGACAAGGAUUACAAUGCAGAUACUGAGGAAGAAAAUCCGGAGGAAUAUGAAGAUGAUGAGGUUGCUUUGUCUGGAAAAGAACCUACACACGCACCACGAGUCAGUCAAAGUGAUUCCGAAGUCCAACCUGAGGAUGCAUCUGAGCAGGCUGAUGAUUCAGACGAACCUGACAUUCUGACUCAGAGGCCCACAAGAGCAGAACCAUCAGAUGAUCACAGACAGACAGCAGGAAAAAGAGAUAAACUUUUGCUUGGCUAAAGUACCUAAUGAUCAUAAGGUCACACUUGAUUUUACAACUGUUUUUCUUCUCUUUGAAGGGACCCACAGAGGAAAAGGGCCAAGGAAGAAGGUUGAACCAGCUGAAGAUUCAGAUGAUCAGGUAGAACUGCUGAGCCAGAGCUCAAAAUAUGCAGAACCAUCAGAGGACAUCAAGAAGAAAUAUAAGAUAGAUCCGCCCCCCAAAGAUGUGUAGGAGAUGGAAGGAGCUCCAAGUCUUAGAGAUCCAGGAGCUGUCCCAGAGCACAGGGACCCUAGGGAGACUGCGACCCGAAAAGCCCCUGCCCGAAUAGCACGAUUGUGCUUUUAGCCAAAUUUCCCCUUUUAAAGAACAUAACAUGUGCACCCACUCACACUAGGCGCACAAACAGACCUCUUUUCCUUUCAACUUUCAUACAAUCACCAACUAUGCAUAUAGAUCUAUAUCUUAAAUAUUACCACCCAAAUGAUAAGAAUCUAAACACACACACACACACACACACACACACACACACACACACACACACACACACACACACACACACACAGAGCGGCCUGACGUGUUUCUGUCACACAAAAGCAACCUGCACUUAGGCAGAAGGGGGAGGAAACCCAAAACUGAAGGAGGAGGGAAUGAUAACAGAUAUCAGAAGCAGAAAAAGAACAAAAUAGGUGCAGGUGCUGACCUCCAGAGUUGUUCACAUAUGUUCUUAUCUGUGUGUAAUUUCUCCUCUGCAAAUUCUUAUCUUCUUAUCGCAGAGUGGCUGGUGGACUGAAGUCUGCUAAUCAAACUGUGACUUUGGGGACUAAAUUACAUCAAUCAGAGUCUGUAAGAGAACAAAGUACUUUUAGAAGUUCAAAACUGGUGAAAUUACACAAAUCAAUUUUAUAAGUUACCAAAGAUUGUUAGAUGAAGAACUGAAACUAGCAUUGUUCCAACGCGUUUCUUUAUUGUUCAUUUUCACGCAAUCAUAUUACUCAAAAUAGAUAUACUAUUAAAUGUCCUUUACAUUAUUUUAUUACAUAUUUUUUCAGUUAGUCAGAUGAACAUUUAUAAUUUGAUUUCACUAUUAAAAAAGAAACAAUAUUUGUUUCUUCAUCUCCUCUUUUUUUUACCACUCAGAGCUGAAAAAAGGAUCUGUUCUGAGACCCGUCCGCUUCUCUGCAGCAGGAGGCGUCCCACAGGGAACCGUCCUGGUUACCUUUAUCUUUCUUUACCCUCCACACUACAGAUGUCAUCAUUAACUGAGCUAACCUAAACUGACUGAAACUUUAUAAAGACGUUAAUCAAAAAUAGUAAAGACUUCUGGUGCAUUACAUCUAAAUAUAUAAUACCUUUGACAUUAAUAUGUUUUAUUGGUGUUUUUUAUUUACAGGCAGCAACUAACUUUUAUUACUUUCCUAAUAUGUUGUAUCUAUAUUACAGUAAAGUGUUUAGCAUACUUUAUUUAUUUUUUAGGAUUAUUUAAUGGUAUAUAUUUUAUGUUAUAUAAAAACAUGCAACGCGUGCAACAGUAAAAUCCAUAAAAUUGAAGAAAAGAGACAUUUAUCAAAUCAGAUUUUAUAAUCUUUUCUGUUUGAAUUUCCAAGACAAGGAAGUAAAGUGAAUCAUUAUCUUCUAAAGAAAAAGAUGUUGUGUGUUUGGGUUGUUGUGCAAAGUUGAAUAAAAACAGAAUUUUUGGAGAUGCAUAGUCACUUAUAGUUAAAUCAGUCCUUAAAUUAGUGAUUUCAAUUAACCUUGAGUUAAUGCAACUUUAAAUUGUUUUCACCUGCCAGUAGGAAAACUGAAACAGUGUACAGAGCUCUGAUGCAUAAACAUUUGCUGCUGUUUCUUAAAAUCAGAGCGAUCGGCAUAAAAAUGCAGCUGACAGCGUCUAAACAAAAUUAUAACUGCUGGAGAGGGCUGCCUAAGCUGCAUGGUCACUUGUAACUGAAUCUGUGUGUGUGUGUGUGUGUGUGUGUGUGUGUGUGUGUGUGUGUGUGUGUGUGUGUGUGUGUGUGUGUGUGUGUGUGAGCCAAUCCAGCAUGAGCAGUAAACCAAAUCAGAGUCAAAAUGACUAUUGAAGAAUCCAUGUCAUGUUUGUAGAACACCGCUUCGCUAAGGUCCUCCAAAAGUAGACUUUUUGUUCCCCAAAUGCCAUUUUCUGGAUUUUACAUGAAUAAAUCACCUGGAAAAUCAAGCGUGCUAAAUCAAUCAAUAAACAGCAAAAAAAAAGAAAAAAAAGAAAAAAGCAUAAAUAAGAUUAAAAUUGGUCCAGUAGCAUUGGUGUGUUGUGUGAUGAACACGUGGUGUGAUAAUACGCCAAAUAUUAUACAAAAGUAAUCAAGUAAUCCUGGAUGGUAACAGAACAACAACAAACAGCUACAGCUCCCAUAUUCCAGGCAGAAUGGGUACAGCUCCUCGGAUGAGAAGCUGAGUCUUCAAGAAACCAAAGAAGUCCAGUUGCCUUCUUUCGGACCCCUUGGAGAACAACCAGAUUCUAACUCCUGUGAAUUUUACCGUUGUGGUCACAUGACCACAUGUGACGGGUCAUUAGGGGUCAAGUGGGGUCACGAGUAGUAUCCCGACAUCCUGCCAGUCUAAUCACCUGUUUAUUUAUUUAACGGCUGAAGUCUGCUCUACUCUGACUGAAGUAGAAGGAAAGUGAAAGUGGAGGAGGGGAUGAAUCCUAGCGCAGUCUGAUUGAUCUCAGGUUGGACUCAAAAUGUGUUUGAUUUCAUUUUAAAAUGGUUUCCCCUUUUGAAUCUGUAGUUUAAAGACUAAUAUUGAUGCAGACAGGUGAUGGAUUCUGGAAUAAAUUGAGGUUAUCAGAUAUAUUAUAACUGACCUGAUGAUUUAGAGUUUAUGGUCACUUCUAUGAUUUAUCUUUGGCCAUCUGUGAGACAGGUUGCCAAGGCCAUCUGCAGAUAUUGUAAAGCUGCAGAGAAGCUAAGGGAACAGAGUAACAGCGAGGAGCCAUGUAGGCGACCACAGUAACAAGAAUGUCUUGAGUGAGGAACAGGAGGAACUUGUAGCCAAGUAGUACAAGGCAGUCUGAAGUUCUCACAGACACACCGGGAAGCAGCGCAAAAUCAGAAAUCAAGUAUCAGGGUCAAAAGAAGAAAGUGACAAAAGGCCUAAGACUGAUGACACAGGAGAUGCCAACUCUUCAGAUAAUGAAAAUAUCUGCAUUGUGAGUUUAGAGCACUUUGAAAACUCACAGCCAAGAGAAGCGUGGAUCAAAUGUCAACGUUUUAGAUUCUGGGUCCAUGAAGCCCACAACCCAUUAAAGUGUUUCUGUACAUUUAUUA
This is a non-coding RNA of Nothobranchius furzeri (turquoise killifish), 7110 nucleotides long. Lineage: Eukaryota; Metazoa; Chordata; Actinopteri; Cyprinodontiformes; Nothobranchiidae. The record is from RefSeq and is a predicted model, not a curated record.